UUGCUCUUUGCUUGGCACCUUUCCCGUCAUAAGAAGCCAAAGAAUACCCUCGGCCAUCGGCUCUCCCCCGGGAGUGGCAGCAGGUAACGCUUUUUGACAUUCAGGAAUAGAGAGCCCCCUGAAGCGAAUUCCCUCAUUAGGAUCAACUUUAGAUCCUUCCCACAACAAAGCAGGCAUUUCCCGCAUUCCACCAAUUACCAUGUUCACAUUGAUGUUGCCAAGCUGAACAUUUCCAUACUCGGAUUUCAGUCUCUUCAGACGGUCCCGCAGUUCUGGAAUCAUUUGCUCAACCUGAGAGCGAAGAUCAAGAUCAGAUGCAGUCAGAGUUUGCAGCCACCGGACAGAUCCCGACGGAGCCGACUCCUGAGCCAGCCGCGAUCGGAGCUGCGAGAGCUUCGCCACGCUCCGGAAGAACGCCAUCGAGAGCGUUCACGAGGUCGAGAGAGGCGGCAAUGGAGAGUGAUUUGGGGACCG
Molecule: unclassified non-coding RNA, 474 nt
Filed under: Hevea brasiliensis (rubber tree)
Lineage: Eukaryota; Viridiplantae; Streptophyta; Magnoliopsida; Malpighiales; Euphorbiaceae
Source: RNAcentral